This 199-nucleotide long non-coding RNA is filed under the name Neogale vison (American mink). RNAcentral's name for it is "Neovison vison (American mink) lncRNA (ENSNVIG00000007041.1)". The record is from RNAcentral. Lineage: Eukaryota; Metazoa; Chordata; Mammalia; Carnivora; Mustelidae.
CAGGCUUGCCCCUGUUUGCAGAGCCGGGAAAAGGAUAAGAGGAUGUCAGAGCGGAUGGGGCAUCUUUGCGCCUAUCUACCUUCUGAGACUGACAUUGUGAACCAUUGCAAGGAGCUGGUCAUUGCAUGAAUUGUUUUGAGCACAUUAUCUUGAAUAAUCAACAUAACAACACUGUGAGGUAAGUGUUAUUAUUAUUCUU